Molecule: ribosomal RNA, 253 nt
Filed under: uncultured bacterium
Lineage: Bacteria
Description: partial 16S ribosomal RNA
Rfam family: Bacterial small subunit ribosomal RNA
Source: RNAcentral
UACGAACUGUGCAAACGCUAUUCGGAAUCACUGGGCUUAAAGGGUGCGUAGGCGGCUUAUCAAGUAGGGUGUGAAAGCCCCCGGCUUAACCGGGGAAUUGCGCCCUAAACUGACGAGCUGGAGUGGGACAGGGGUGUGUGGAACUUCCGGUGGAGCGGUGAAAUGUGUUGAUAUCGGAAGGAACGCCGGUGGCGAAAGCGACACACUGGGUCUCAACUGACGCUGAGGCGCGAAAGCCAGGGGAGCGAACGGG